RNAcentral lists this ribosomal RNA (730 nucleotides) under uncultured bacterium. RNAcentral's name for it is "bacterial SSU rRNA". It matches the Rfam family "Bacterial small subunit ribosomal RNA", at positions 771 to 1498 of the family's 1533-position model. The record is from RNAcentral.
AACAGGAUUAGAUACCCUGGUAGUCCACGCCGUAAACGUUGGGCGCUAGAUGUAGGGACCUUUCCACGGUUUCUGUGUCGUAGCUAACGCAUUAAGCGCCCCGCCUGGGGAGUACGGCCGCAAGGCUAAAACUCAAAGGAAUUGACGGGGGCCCGCACAAGCGGCGGAGCAUGCGGAUUAAUUCGAUGCAACGCGAAGAACCUUACCAAGGCUUGACAUACACCGGAAACGGCCAGAGAUGGUUGCCCCCUUGUGGUCGGUGUACAGGUGGUGCAUGGUUGUCGUCAGCUCGUGUCGUGAGAUGUUGGGUUAAGUCCCGCAACGAGCGCAACCCUCGUUCUAUGUUGCCAGCGCGUUAUGGCGGGGACUCAUAGGAGACUGCCGGGGUCAACUCGGAGGAAGGUGGGGAUGACGUCAAAUCAUCAUGCCCCUUAUGUCUUGGGCUUCACGCAUGCUACAAUGGCCGGUACAAAGGGCUGCAAUACCGUAAGGUGGAGCGAAUCCCAAAAAGCCGGUCCCAGUUCGGAUUGAGGUCUGCAACUCGACCUCAUGAAGUCGGAGUCGCUAGUAAUCGCAGAUCAGCAACGCUGCGGUGAAUACGUUCCCGGGUCUUGUACACACCGCCCGUCAAGUCAUGAAAGUCGGUAACACCUGAAGCCGGUGGCCCAACCCUUGUGGAGGGAGCCGUCGAAGGUGGGAUCGGAAAUUAGGACUAAGUCGUAACAAGGUA